Molecule: non-coding RNA, 90 nt
Organism: Cerrena zonata
Lineage: Eukaryota; Fungi; Basidiomycota; Agaricomycetes; Polyporales; Cerrenaceae
Source: the annotation of a GenBank genome assembly
GGUUCGAUGGUGUAGUUGGUUAUCACGUUCGCCUCACAGGCUUCUGCUGGUGUGCGCGAGAGGUCUCCGGUUCGAGCCCGGGUCGAAUCA